AUUGAACGCUGGCGGCAGGCCUAACACAUGCAAGUCGAGCGGAUGAAGGGAGCUUGCUCCUGGAUUCAGCGGCGGACGGGUGAGUAAUGCUUAGGAAUCUGCUUGGUAGUGGGGGAUAACGUCUGGAAACGGGCGCUAAUACCGCAUACGACCUGAGGGAGAAAGUGGGGGAUCUUCGGACCUCACGCUAUCAGAUGAGCCUAGGUCGGAUUAGCUAGUUGGUGGGGUAAAGGCCUACCAAGGCGACGAUCCGUAACUGGUCUGAGUGGAUGAUCAGUCACACUGGAACUGAGACGCGGUCCAGACUCCUGCGGGAGGCAGCAGUGGGGAAUAUUAGGCAGUGGGCGAGAGCCUGAUACAGCCAUGCCGCGUGUGUGAAGAAGGUCUUCGGAUUGGAAAGCACUUUAAGUUGGGGGGAAGGGCAGUAAGUUAAUACGUUGCUGUAUUGACGGUACCGGCAGAAUAAGCACCGGCUAACUACGUG
This 484-nucleotide ribosomal RNA is filed under the name uncultured bacterium. Its description in RNAcentral is "partial 16S ribosomal RNA". It matches the Rfam family "Bacterial small subunit ribosomal RNA", at positions 30 to 507 of the family's 1533-position model. The record is from RNAcentral.